This 625-nucleotide long non-coding RNA is filed under the name Brassica napus (rape). RNAcentral describes it as "long non-coding RNA (BNAP_LNC016305)". Lineage: Eukaryota; Viridiplantae; Streptophyta; Magnoliopsida; Brassicales; Brassicaceae. The record is from RNAcentral.
AGCAAAGUAUAAAUGAUCUUAUUCCAAAUCCGCAUAUGAGCGUUACAACAGGUAAAAAAAGCUUCGGCCGCAAGAGCUGCCAGCGUAUUUUAUAGUUCUAAUCACCUAAGACUUUAAGACCUAGUUGAGUCGUAAAUGGAAAACUGCAUAAAUUGGUCCAAGAGCUAAGUUUGAUGUGAAUUUUUUUGUCUCACGUGCUCCUCGCCUUGGCUCUUUUUAUAUAUGCCUUCAAGGUCGUCCGACCUUUCUUUUUUGCCCCUGAUUCGAGUAUAUCCUUUUACGAAAUUUUUCCUUAUCACCUCAAUCUUCAUGUUUAUCUUGUAAGUUUUACAUUUAUCUUCUUUUCCAUUUAUCUUCCAUAAAAAUUGAGUAAACUGUAAUUAUUUGUUGGAAAUAUUCUCAAUUUAAUCCUAAGUGGGUUUUUAUCGCGUUUUAGAGCUCAUGGGAGGGGAGCUAUGACAGCGAUGAGAGCCACUCUAUGAGGGGGAUUAGAGAUUGUGCAAACAUGUUAUGUAUAUCUAAGAACAAUUUUUAAAUUUAAAACUUGAUGUUUUAUUAAGAUGAAGAAAAGAAAACUUAGAAUAAAUAGUUCUUUAGCAAGAAUAUCUUAUUAUAUAAAGUUUGG